CUGCAUGCAGAAUGUUCAUUCUGCAUGCAGGGGAAAAAAAAUGAAAAAAACUAACGGGAGGGGGGAGAAGAGGUGACCUGGCGUGGAGGAGGCGGUGCUGCGGUGGCUCCGCGGUGGCGUGGCUUCCCGGGCGGCGCUGCGGCUCCUUCUCUCUUCGGUGUUCGGUUCUCUCUCUCUCUUCGGCCUCCUCUCUCUCUCUCCUCCCUUCGG
RNAcentral lists this long non-coding RNA (210 nucleotides) under Populus tremula. Its description in RNAcentral is "long non-coding RNA (PTRE_LNC000637)". The record is from RNAcentral. Lineage: Eukaryota; Viridiplantae; Streptophyta; Magnoliopsida; Malpighiales; Salicaceae.